Molecule: ribosomal RNA, 502 nt
Filed under: uncultured bacterium
Lineage: Bacteria
Description: bacterial SSU rRNA
Rfam family: Bacterial small subunit ribosomal RNA
Source: RNAcentral
AGAGUUUGAUUAUGGCUCAGGAUGAACGCUGGCGGCGCGCAUAACACAUGCAAGUCGAACGGAGUCACGUUGAAACCUAGUGAUAUGUGACUUAGUGGCGGACGGGUGAGUAACGCGUGGGUAACCUACCUGAUAUUGGGGGACAACAGUUAGAAAUGACUGCUAAUACCGCAUACGACAUUCGGAGGGCAUCCUCUGAAUGGGAAAGGAAUUAUCCGAUACCAGAUGGACCCGCGUCUGAUUAGCUAGUUGGUGAGGUAACGGCCCACCAAGGCGACGAUCAGUAGCCGAACUGAGAGGUUGACCGGCCACAUUGGGACUGAGACACGGCCCAAACUCCUACGGGAGGCAGCAGUGGGGAAUAUUGCACAAUGGGGGGAACCCUGAUGCCAGCGACGCCGCGUGAGUGAUGAAGUAUUUCGGUAUGUAAAGCUCUAUCGAUGGGGAAGAAAAUGACGGUACCCAAGUAAGAAGCCCCGGCUAACUACGUGCCAGCCGCAGC